GAAUUCAAAAAUAUGUUCCGAAAAUUGAAAUCCAAAUUAUUUUAGAUAAAAGUUUCAAAAAUAAUUUUUCCCAUUUUUGUGUAAGGUUAUUUUCGUCAUUUAGGAGGGGUAUUUUUGUCAUUUUCUAGAGCUGAUUGGGUGGGGUAUUUUUGUCAUUUUCUAGAGCUGAUUGGGUGCAUGCUGAAAUUGAUAUGGUGGAGGGAGAAAUUGCCAAA
RNAcentral lists this long non-coding RNA (215 nucleotides) under Phaseolus vulgaris (common bean). RNAcentral's name for it is "long non-coding RNA (PVUL_LNC002079)". The record is from RNAcentral. Lineage: Eukaryota; Viridiplantae; Streptophyta; Magnoliopsida; Fabales; Fabaceae.